AUGAUACGUCUACCUGCAGUGUCAGGAUAUCGUCUCCCUCCAAAGGAAAUUCAGGAAAUUGUGGAUGUGCCACCGAACCCCAGUUACCAUCUCUCCCCUCGCCGAGAUAGGAUCAUGUUCCUGAAACGUAGAGCUAUGCCUCCGUUGUCCGAGCUCGCAAAACCCGAUAAAAUACUUGCUGGCAUACGGAUCGAUUCCAGCUCUAACAUGAGGAGUCGAAUGUCCUUUUAUACUGGGAUUAGUAUCCAUUUGCUGAUGGAUGAUGGAAGUUUGGGUCCAGAGAAAGUGGUCCAUGGAUAUCCAGAUGGUGCAAAAAUUAAUUUUGUAACAUGGUCACCAGAUGGUCAGAAUGUGGCCUUCACUGUGCGUUAUGAAGAUGAGGUGGGCAGUGACAGCAAUUUAGCAUUGUGGGUUGCUAAUGCAGAAUCUGGAGAAGCUCGGCCACUUUUCAGACAAACAGACAUAAGACUGAAUGCUAUUUUUGAGCUAUUUGUGUGGGUGGAUCAUUCUACCCUGUUGGUCUGCACUAUUCCUUCAUCACGUGGUGAUUCUCUGAAGAAGCCAUUGGUUCCUUUUGGUCCAAGGAUUCGCUCCAAUGAGCAGAACAAUGUCAUCCAGAUGAGAGCCACAAAAGAAAUGCUGAAAGAUUUGCAUGAGGAAGAAUUGUUCGAUUACUAUGCAACCUCUCAGUUAGUACUGGUUUCGUUGGAUGGGAUAGUGAAACCAGUAGCUUCCCCUGCUAUAUAUACUUUCCUUAAUCCUUCACCAGAUGAAAAGUACUUGAUGCUCACCUGUGUUCACAAGCCAUAUUCUUCUAUAGUCUCGUAUAAAAGGUUUCCCAAGAAGGUUGAGUUGUGGACAGUUCAUGGUAGAUUUGUCCGCGAACUUUGUGAUCUACCCCUUGCUGAAAAUAUUCCAAUUGCAGCCAACAGCGUCCGUAGGGGAAAACGUUUAAUCAGGUGGAGGCCUGACAUGCCUUCUACCUUAUAUUGGGUGGAGGCACAAGAUGGAGGAGAUGCAAACGUUGAAGUCGCACCACGUGAUAUAGUUUACAUGGAACCUGCUGAGCCUUUAAAUGGAGAGAAACCUCAUGCCCUUAAACUUGAACUUCGGUAUAGAAGGAUCUCUUGGUGCUAUGGAUUGCAUGCACUGGUAUAUGAAUAUUGGCACAAGACAUGCAGAACAAGAACAUGGGUCAUCUCCCCUGAUUGCAAUGAUCUUAGCCCACGAUUAUUAUUUGAUAGAUCUUCUGAAGAUGCUUACUCAAGUCCAGGCUCUCCAAUGAUGUGCAGAACUCCCGCAGGCACCCUUGUCAUUGCAAAAAUUAAGACAAACUAUGAAGGGACCUAUAUCCUAAUGAAGGGACAGGGUGCCACACCAAAAGGAGGCAUCCCUUUUCUUGAUCUCUUAAACAUAACUACGGGAGCGAAAGAGCGGAUAUGGGAAAGUGGUGUAGACAAGUACUAUGAAUCUGUUCUUGCACUGAUGUCAUACCAUCCUAAAUGUGAAAUCCAGCUAAAUGAACUAAAAUUUCUCAUAUCGAAGGAGUCGAGAAGCGAAGCUGCCCAAUAUUAUGUUAGUAUCUGGCCUGAUAAGAAGCAAGUCCAGAUUACAAGUUAUCCCCAUCCAUAUCCUCAGCUGGCAUCAUUGCAGAGAGAAAUAAUCAGAUACGAGCGAGAUGAUGGUGUUAAACUUACUGCUACAUUGUAUCUGCCUCCAGGCUAUAAUCCAUCGAAAGAUGGGCCUCUUGCAUGCUUGAUUUGGUCUUAUCCUGGAGACUUUAAAAGCAGAGAGGCUGCUGGACAAGUCCGUCGUUCACCCAAUAAAUUGCACGCAUUAACAACAUUUCCUCUUCUUUGGUUAUCUAGAGGGUUUGCUGUUUUGGCUGACCCGACAAUCCCUAUAAUUGGUGAAGGAGACGAGGAGGCGAAUGACAGGUACAUAGAGCAGCUGAUUGCUAGUGCGGAAGCAGCGGUAAAUGAAAUUGUAAGAAGAGGGGUUGCUCACCCUGACAAAAUUGCUGUGGGCGGUCAUUCAUAUGGUGCAUUUAUGACUGCUAACCUCUUGGCACAUGCACCUCAUCUUUUCUGCUGCGGAAUCGCUCGCUCUGGAGCCUACAACAGGACACUGACUCCAUUUGGCUUUCAGAAAGAGGUGAGGACGCUCUGGGAAGCUGCCGAUACCUAUAUUAAGAUGAGCCCCUUCAUGAUAGCUAACAAAAUCAAGAAACCAAUUCUACUGAUACAUGGAGAAGAAGACAGCAAAGUUACAACAGCAAUGCAGUCAAGUCAAUUUUAUGAUGCUUUGAAAGGGCAUGGGGUGCCAUGCCGUCUUGUAAUUCUCCCAUUCGAGGGGCACCGAUAUGCUGCAAGGGAAAGCGUUCUGCAUGUAAUUUGGGAGACUGAUAGGUGGCUGCAGAAAUAUUGUGCAAGUAAUUCUAGCAGCACCCUGAUUAUCAAAUCCAGUGGUGAGUGGUGA
Molecule: ribosomal RNA, 2478 nt
Filed under: Triticum aestivum (bread wheat)
Lineage: Eukaryota; Viridiplantae; Streptophyta; Magnoliopsida; Poales; Poaceae
Description: partial small subunit ribosomal RNA
Source: RNAcentral